AGUGAACGCUGGCGGCGUGCUUAACACAUGCAAGUCGAGCGGGGAAGGGUAGCUUGCUACCUGACCUAGCGGCGGACGGGUGAGUAAUGCUUAGGAAUCUGCCUAUUAGUGGGGGACAACAUUCCGAAAGGAAUGCUAAUACCGCAUACGCCCUACGGGGGAGAGCAGGGGAUCUUCGGACCUUGCGCUAAUAGAUGAGCCUAAGUCAGAUUAGCUAGUUGGUGGGGUAAAGGCCUACCAAGGCGACGAUCUGUAGCGGGUCUGAGAGGAUGAUCCGCCACACUGGGACUGAGACACGGCCCAGACUCCUACGGGAGGCAGCAGUGGGGAAUAUUGGACAAUGGGCGCAAGCCUGAUCCAGCCAUGCCGCGUGUGUGAAGAAGGCCUUUUGGUUGUAAAGCACUUUAAGCGAGGAGGAGGCUACUUGGAUUAAUACUCUAGGAUAGUGGACGUUACUCGCAGAAUAAGCACCGGCUAACUCUGUGCCAGCCGCCGCGGUAA
RNAcentral lists this ribosomal RNA (501 nucleotides) under uncultured bacterium. RNAcentral's name for it is "partial 16S ribosomal RNA". It matches the Rfam family "Bacterial small subunit ribosomal RNA", at positions 29 to 523 of the family's 1533-position model. The record is from RNAcentral.